RNAcentral lists this long non-coding RNA (2792 nucleotides) under Homo sapiens (human). Its description in RNAcentral is "non-protein coding lnc-RPS24-3:30". Lineage: Eukaryota; Metazoa; Chordata; Mammalia; Primates; Hominidae. The record is from RNAcentral.
GGAGAGCGGAGGAAUGAAGGAGAGCAGAGAGGAGAGGCUUGGAGGUAAGAACGAGCAGAGAGGGAGGGCUGGGGAAGCCAGUCUGCAGGGAGGGGAGGGGAGGUGAGGCGCUAUGCUGGGGAGAAGGAGGGGAGAAGGAUGGGAGGUGGCGGAACCCUGCCACUCCUUUCUUGGUUGCUUUGCACCCAUCUGACGUCCUUGCUGGUCAGAGGAUGAAUCUGGCUAGAGCGGAGCAGAACUGAAGAGCAGAGCUAUGCAGCCCUGGAAGCAUCCUAGAGACCAAGACCCUCAGGGGCAAGGGCAGGGUGCUCACUCAGCCACACCGUGGAUCAGCAGCAGGGCAGGACCCCACCCUGUGCCUCCUGUCUCUUUCUCCCGUUAUGACAGCUAGCUCUGAUGAGCACCUACUGUGCACCAGGCACUGUUCUAAGUCUUGGAAUGGGUUUCCACAGUUAGUCCUAAGACAAGCCUGUCAAGUAGGGAGCAUUGCUAUCCCCAUUUUAGAGACGAAGAAGCUGAGGCCUGGAGUAGUCUUGAACCUUGCCCGAGGUCACACUGCCAGGAAGAGGUAGAGCCCACAGGCCACCAGCAUUGAGCUCCUUUCUGACCUCUUAUCUUUGGGGAAGGUUGGCCCAGUUUCCUUCUCCUUUCCUGAAGGAGCGUGUGCGUCCUUGCUGAGACCAGGAAAGGAGGUCUCAGCUUCAUUUGGUAUUCCCUCCCUCCUUAGUAAAGCACGUAAGUGCCUUCUGCGCUCCCGGAACGUCAGGGAACAUCAGCAAACAUCAGUGAAGCGGGAGACGAAUGCCCCCAAACCCGUGCCCCGUGGUGCAGGAAGGGCUGGCUCACUCGGCUGACUUCCAUUAAACAUUUGAUGCAUCACAGAACUGCCGAAAACCAUCCAUCAGGCCAUCCCCCUCCGCCUGCCUCCCUGCCCUGCUCACAGAGGGGGUUCGGCCUCAGCCUGCAUUCCCUGGCUCCAGGGAAGAGAGAGGAGAGGGGCAACACCCAGCCAUGGCUGUGAUGCUAGUAAGAGCACCAUGUAUUGAAUGUCAGUGUGCCCAGGCAGACCUCAGCACAUUACAGAUUUUAUCUCAUUGAACCCCAUGAUCGCUGAUAGGUGUGGCUGUUAUCGUUCAGUAGAUGUGGAACCUGACAUCAAAGAGGGCCAUAGUCACUCUGAAGGAGCUAGGGCCGCACUGAGCCCAGGGAUAUGAGUUGAGAGCCCCCUCCGCCCUUCUGCAUUCCUCGAUGGGGUGGAGCAGAUCAGGUACUGCACAGUGGGAUGGGGCCAGAGCAGCACAGUGCAUUUAGUGAUUAGUGACCCGUGGAGGUCAGCCCCGGCCAGAGCAGGUUGGGGGACCCCAGCACAGGGUGAGUUGCAGGACAGCGGUCCAUGGGUAGUCCAAGGCACUCUGUCCUUCCCUCCACCCGGUUACUGCAGCCUGACCAAGUUUUCCGGGCUCCCCCUUCUCCCUGGGGACCCCAUUCAAUCAGAGGCCAGUCUCUUUGGUUCUCCCAGCUAGAUGUUCCUGAAUUCACAAUCUCACCCCCUUUCCUUCCAUAUCAUGGCCCCUCUCGUGGGGGACUGCCCCAGCCUCCUGCUGGUCUCUGGCCUCACCUUGCCAAUUUCUUCUCCCCACUGUAGCCAGAGGGAUUGUUCUAGAACCCAUGUCUGCCCUCUGGUUCUUCCACUUAAAACUCAACCUGACUGCCUCACAUGGGAUGGAGCCCACAUUGUGCACUCAGCCUGACCUCCCCAGGACCCUCCUGCCCGUCCCUUGCUGGCUGCCCCCAUGCUCAUGCUGGGGUCUCGGCUGUGCUGUGCUCGCUGCAGGAGAGCCAUCCGCUGCUCCUUGGCUGGUGAAUUUCUGCUUAUCGUUCAAACUCCAAUGCAGAGCACCUUUCUUCCAGGGAGUCCUCCCUGAUAACCUUUAUGUGCUUCAUCCCAACCAGCACAAACCGCACUGUCCCAUUUGCUUCCCUGCUUGUCUGUCACCCUCUAUUGAUCAUCAGUUCCAGGAGGGCAGCGAAUGUGCCCCCUUCCCCACUGCUCCCCUAGAGUAACAUGGGGGCUGCUCCACAGCAGGCCCUCCAGGAAUGGAUGGCUGCAUGAUGAAUGAAUGAAUGAUGCCUGAUACGGCUAAGACUGGAAUCCCCCAAGGUGCAACAAGGGUCGGGGACUCAGACGCAGGUGGCAACCUAGCAGUGGGGAGGUGAUGUGGUGUUUGGAGUUUAACUGACCCCAGUGCUUACAAGCUGUGUGGCCUCUGCCUGCCUCAGUUUGCUUGCAUGCAACAUGGGUAUAAUGACAACUCCUUUACUGAGAAUUUGUCCUGAGAGGCCCUGGAGAUAAUACCUGGGCAGUGCCCAGCCCUGUGCUAGGCACAGAGGAGGAUAAGGUGGGGCUCCCUCUGGGGCUUGAGGCCAGGGUCAGGCUGCAAGCUUCUCUGAGACAGCAUGUGGGGCUGACCUGGCUCUGCAAUCAGGAGGACUGUGAGUCCUGAGGCUAUAGUCUAGGCACACAAGAGGAGGCAGGGGCAAGACACUCCCCAUGCUCCUCUGGGCUGGCCUCAGCAUGCCAAGGCUGGGCUCUCACCAUUAGCUCAUCCUUCCUUUGAAUGGAGCCAAUGGCAAUCAGGAGGACCGUGAGUCUUGGGGCUAUAGUCCAGGCACACAAGUGGGGGCAGAGGCAAGACAUUCCCCACGCCUCUCUGGGCUAGCCUCAGCAUGUGGAGCCCGGGCUUUCACCACUAGCUCAUCCUUCCUUCGAAUGGAGCCAAAGUUAGAACUGG